UACGAAGGGGGCUAGCGUUGCUCGGACUCACUGGGCGUAAAGGGCACGUAGGCGGAUCUUUGAGUCAGGGGUGAAAUCCUGGAGCUCAACUCCAGAACUGCCUUUGAUACUGGGGAUCUCGAGUCCGGGAGAGGUGAGUGGAACUCCGAGUGUAGAGGUGAAAUUCGUAGAUAUUCGGAAGAACACCAGUGGCGAAGGCGGCUCACUGGCCCGGUACUGACGCUGAGGUGCGAAAGCGUGGGGAGCAAACAGG
This 253-nucleotide ribosomal RNA is filed under the name uncultured bacterium. RNAcentral describes it as "partial 16S ribosomal RNA". It matches the Rfam family "Bacterial small subunit ribosomal RNA", at positions 524 to 776 of the family's 1533-position model. The record is from RNAcentral.